This 715-nucleotide ribosomal RNA is filed under the name uncultured bacterium. RNAcentral describes it as "bacterial SSU rRNA". It matches the Rfam family "Bacterial small subunit ribosomal RNA", at positions 66 to 773 of the family's 1533-position model. The record is from RNAcentral.
GCAGCACAGAGAAGCUUGCUUCUUGGGUGGCGAGUGGCGAACGGGUGAGUAACAUAUCGGAACGUACCGAGUAAUGGGGGAUAACUAAUCGAAAGAUUAGCUAAUACCGCAUAUUCUCUGAGGAGGAAAGCAGGGGACCUUCGGGCCUUGCGUUAUUCGAGCGGCCGAUAUCUGAUUAGCUAGUUGGUGGGGUAAAGGCCUACCAAGGCGACGAUCAGUAGCGGGUCUGAGAGGAUGAUCCGCCACACUGGGACUGAGACACGGCCCAGACUCCUACGGGAGGCAGCAGUGGGGAAUUUUGGACAAUGGGCGCAAGCCUGAUCCAGCCAUGCCGCGUGUCUGAAGAAGGCCUUCGGGUUGUAAAGGACUUUUGUCAGGGAAGAAAAGGCUGUYGCUAAUACCGACAGUUGAUGACGGUACCUGAAGAAUAAGCACCGGCUAACUACGUGCCAGCAGCCGCGGUAAUACGUAGGGUGCGAGCGUUAAUCGGAAUUACUGGGCGUAAAGCGAGCGCAGACGGUUACUUAAGCAGGAUGUGAAAUCCCCGGGCUCAACCUGGGAACUGCGUUCUGAACUGGGUGACUAGAGUGUGUCAGAGGGAGGUAGAAUUCCACGUGUAGCAGUGAAAUGCGUAGAGAUGUGGAGGAAUACCGAUGGCGAAGGCAGCCUCCUGGGAUAACACUGACGUUCAUGCUCGAAAGCGUGGGUAGCAAAC